RNAcentral lists this signal recognition particle RNA (137 nucleotides) under Branchiostoma floridae (Florida lancelet). Its description in RNAcentral is "Metazoan signal recognition particle RNA". It matches the Rfam family "Metazoan signal recognition particle RNA", at positions 105 to 246 of the family's 299-position model. Rfam says of the family: The signal recognition particle (SRP) is a universally conserved ribonucleoprotein. The record is from Rfam by way of RNAcentral. Lineage: Eukaryota; Metazoa; Chordata; Leptocardii; Amphioxiformes; Branchiostomatidae.
GGCGCGCGCCUGUAAUCCAGCUACCUGGAGGCUGGGGGAGCCCAGGGCAACCAGGUCGUCUAAGGAGGGACGCACCGGCCCAGGUUGGAAACAAAGCAGGCAAAAGUCCCCGUGUCGAUCAGUAGCGGGAUCGCGCC